GCGGGUGUAGCGCAGUGGUAGCGCAUCUGCUUCCCAAGCAGGCGGCCGUGGGUUCGAAUCCCAUCACCCGCU
RNAcentral lists this transfer RNA (72 nucleotides) under Anaerolineae bacterium. Its description in RNAcentral is "tRNA-Gly". It matches the Rfam family "tRNA". From Rfam's summary of the family: Transfer RNA (tRNA) molecules are approximately 80 nucleotides in length. Their secondary structure includes four short double-helical elements and three loops (D, anti-codon, and T loops). Further hydrogen bonds mediate the characteristic L-shaped molecular structure. tRNAs have two regions of fundamental functional importance: the anti-codon, which is responsible for specific mRNA codon recognition, and the 3' end, to which the tRNAs corresponding amino acid is attached (by aminoacyl-tRNA synthetases). tRNAs cope with the degeneracy of the genetic code in two manners: having more than one tRNA (with a specific anti-codon) for a particular amino acid; and 'wobble' base-pairing, i.e. permitting non-standard base-pairing at the 3rd anti-codon position. Lineage: Bacteria; Bacillati; Chloroflexota; Anaerolineae. RNAcentral also lists the same sequence under 1 other name. The record is from RNAcentral.